UGGGGAAUAUUGGACAAUGGGGGCAACCCUGAUCCAGCCACGCCGCGUGUGUGAAGAAGGCCUUUUGGUUGUAAAGCACUUUAAGCAGGGAGGAGAGGCUAAUGGUUAAUACCCAUUAGAUUAGACGUUACCUGCAGAAUAAGCACCGGCUAACUCUGUGCCAGCAGCCGCGGUAAUACAGAGGGUGCGAGCGUUAAUCGGAAUUACUGGGCGUAAAGCGAGUGUAGGUGGCUCAUUAAGUCACAUGUGAAAUCCCCGGGCUUAACCUGGGAACUGCAUGUGAUACUGGUGGUGCUAGAAUAUGUGAGAGGGAAGUAGAAUUCCAGGUGUAGCGGUGAAAUGCGUAGAGAUCUGGAGGAAUACCGAUGGCGAAGGCAGCUUCCUGGCAUAAUAUUGACACUGAGAUUCGAAAGCGUGGGUAGCAAACAGGAUUAGAUACCCUGGUAGUCCACGCCGUAAACGAUGUCUACUAGCCGUUGGGGUCCUUGAGACUUUAGUGGCGCAGUUAACGCGAUAAGUAGACCGCCU
This 528-nucleotide ribosomal RNA is filed under the name uncultured bacterium. RNAcentral's name for it is "partial 16S ribosomal RNA". It matches the Rfam family "Bacterial small subunit ribosomal RNA", at positions 355 to 874 of the family's 1533-position model. The record is from RNAcentral.